GGGAGUAGAUAGGUGCUGGUGUGCCUACUGGACUUCAAAUCCAGCUUCGGGUGUUAAGAGCAUCCGGGGUGGGUUCGAUUCCCACAUACUCCCGCCA
This 97-nucleotide transfer RNA is filed under the name Clostridium sp. 'deep sea'. Its description in RNAcentral is "tRNA-Sec". It matches the Rfam family "Selenocysteine transfer RNA". Lineage: Bacteria; Bacillati; Bacillota; Clostridia; Eubacteriales; Clostridiaceae. The record is from RNAcentral.